RNAcentral lists this long non-coding RNA (217 nucleotides) under Elaeis guineensis (African oil palm). RNAcentral's name for it is "long non-coding RNA (EGUI_LNC078746)". The record is from RNAcentral. Lineage: Eukaryota; Viridiplantae; Streptophyta; Magnoliopsida; Arecales; Arecaceae.
AGGUAUGCCGGCCAAACAGACCAAUGCUAUUUCCAACCGGCCGAACGGCCGAACCCAUAUCACUGACUCACUAUCGGGGGUGGCAGCCAACGUCUGACUUUCACAAGGCACCAGAUCAGCCAACAGUAUUUUCGAGUCAUCACCCGACAUUCCGACAGUCGAAUACCGACAUAUAGUCGGCCAGCCCAUCCAAACAUCGUACAACCACUAUGGGCUA